This 277-nucleotide long non-coding RNA is filed under the name Physcomitrium patens. RNAcentral's name for it is "long non-coding RNA (PPAT_LNC006352)". Lineage: Eukaryota; Viridiplantae; Streptophyta; Bryopsida; Funariales; Funariaceae. The record is from RNAcentral.
UUAAGAAAGAUCAAUAAUUUAAUCAAUAGAUAUUGGGAUUCUAAUCUACCUUAGGGUUGGUUUGAAUUGGUUAGAUUUUAGUUAGGAUUUGGUUUAGGAUUUAGGGUUUAUUUAAGAUUUAGGAUUUGUCUAAGGUUUGAUUUAGGAUUUAUUUAAGAUAUAGGAUUUAUCUAGGAUUUGAUUUAUGAUUUAUGAUUUAUUUAAGAUUUGAUUUAAAGUUUAAGAUUUAAUUAGAAUUUGACCUAAGAUUUAAUUAAGAUCCAUUAAGAUUUCAAUU